AAAGUCGUAACAAGGUUUCCGUAGGUGAACCUGCGGAAGGAUCAUUAAAAAAGGGUCGAAAGAUCUAUUUCUACUGAAACUCUACUACCUUUAGGGGAUAGUGGAUGUUUCUUUAAAAAUCCAAUAAAAAAUAUCGUCUUUAGACGAACCAAAAAUAAAAUUUAAAAAACUUUCAACAAUGGAUCUCUUGGCUCUC
This 196-nucleotide unclassified non-coding RNA is filed under the name Glomeromycotina sp. RNAcentral describes it as "partial contains small subunit ribosomal RNA, internal transcribed spacer 1, and 5.8S ribosomal RNA". The stretch from base 1 to 47 matches the Rfam family "Eukaryotic small subunit ribosomal RNA", at positions 1785 to 1831 of the family's 1831-position model. Lineage: Eukaryota; Fungi; Glomeromycota. The record is from RNAcentral.